UGGAAGUUGUGUCUUGUUAUGUCCUGAAC
Molecule: non-coding RNA, 29 nt
Filed under: Mus musculus (house mouse)
Lineage: Eukaryota; Metazoa; Chordata; Mammalia; Rodentia; Muridae
Source: RNAcentral